Molecule: ribosomal RNA, 491 nt
Filed under: uncultured bacterium
Lineage: Bacteria
Description: partial 16S ribosomal RNA
Rfam family: Bacterial small subunit ribosomal RNA
Source: RNAcentral
AAUGAACGCUGGCGGCAGGCCUAACACAUGCAAGUCGAACGGCAGCAUCGUAUCUGCUUGCUCACACGGGCGUAGCGUGGCGGAACGUUCCCGUAUAUUUCGGAUUACUCUUUUUCGUGGGUGCUAAUACCGGAUAAUUUACGCUAACACAGCAUACGUCGCCCGGGUGUAAGCCGGCGAUCUACUAGCCUGUUGGUAGGGUAAGAGCCGAUGUCGGAUUAGCUAGUUGGCGGGGUAAAGGGCCACCAAGGCGACGCUCCGUAGCUGGUCUGAGCGGAUGAUCAGCAACACUGGAACUGGGACACGGUCCAGACUCCUACGGGAGGCAGCAGUGGGGAAUAUUGGACAAGGGGCGCAAGCCUAAUCCAGCCAUACCGCGUGGGUGAAGAAGGCCUACGGGUUGUAAAGCCCUUAUGUUGGGAAAGAAAAGCGGCAGGUUAAUACCCCGCUGUUCUAACGGUACCCAAGGAAUAAGCACCGGCUAACUUCGU